Molecule: non-coding RNA, 85 nt
Organism: Felis catus (domestic cat)
Lineage: Eukaryota; Metazoa; Chordata; Mammalia; Carnivora; Felidae
Source: Rfam
GCUUGGGUGGCUCAGUCGGUUGAGCGUCCGACUUCAGCUCAGCUCAUGAUCUCGCGCUUCGUGGGUUCGAGCCCCGCGUCGGGCU